GAGGCAAGCCAGGACAUCUAAUAGGCCUAUUAGCCUUCCAGGACAAUAGCUUAUGAACAUAGAGCUAUACUAGCAAAACGAGGAAAGAAAGGGCAGUACUAAGAUUGCCUACAAAACGAGUUGAUAGUAAAAGUACAAAAGUAGUCACAAAGUUUUGUUUUUUAGACAAUGGACUUUGUGGUGUAGUCGAAUCAGUAGCUAGUACUUACAGUAGUGAUAUGAUAUGGCAUAGAAGACUUACUGUAGGUUUUAAUUAGUUUGCUUUGUUCAAGUUGUCUGUGCAUGCUGUGUAUUUGUCCUGUUCCAUCUGUGCUAAACGCUGAGAUGAGACUGUCUGAAGUUCAGGUCUUUCCACUCACCUUGGACUUUAGCCACGUGGAUAUAGCUUGCAGUUUCAGAGGCUGCCGACAGAGCAAUUCAUCAGGGAUCAUCUCCUACCUCACCUCCAUGAGCAAAGACUGCUGUUCCCUUAAAUUCUCUGCUCAGCCUGAUUUGUAAGUGGGGUAAAGCUGUGUUGUAGCUUAGCCUUCUCCAUUUCCUGACUUUCCUCAAUUGCUUGAUCAUAAGCAGCCUAUGGAGAUUUCCCAAACAAAUUAGAACCUGUAAAUAAACCUUGAACCAUUAUAUAUCUAGUUUGGGGGUGUGGCUUUUGGGGAAAUAAAAAUGACUGUAAUUCC
Pogoniulus pusillus (Red-fronted tinkerbird) is the source of this 677-nucleotide long non-coding RNA. RefSeq lists it as uncharacterized. The transcript is spliced from 2 exons. The record is from RefSeq and is a predicted model, not a curated record. NCBI's taxonomy places the organism in Eukaryota, Metazoa, Chordata, Aves, Piciformes, Lybiidae.